Molecule: ribosomal RNA, 427 nt
Filed under: uncultured bacterium
Lineage: Bacteria
Description: partial 16S ribosomal RNA
Rfam family: Bacterial small subunit ribosomal RNA
Source: RNAcentral
UGGGGAAUAUUGGACAAUGGGCGAAAGCCUGAUCCAGCCAUGCCGCGUGUGUGAAGAAGGUCUUCGGAUUGUAGAGCACUUUAAGUUGGGAGGAAGGGCAUUAACCUAAUACGUUAGUGUUUUGACGUUACCGACAGAAUAAGCACCGGCUAACUCUGUGCCAGCAGCCGCGGUAAUACAGAGGGUGCAAGCGUUAAUCGGAAUUACUGGGCGUAAAGCGCGCGUAGGUGGUUUGUUAAGUUGGAUGUGAAAUCCCCGGGCUCAACCUGGGAACUGCAUUCAAAACUGACUGACUAGAGUAUGGUAGAGGGUGGUGGAAUUUUCUGUGUAGCGGUGAAAUGCGUAGAUAUAGGAAGGAACACCAGUGGCGAAGGCGACCACCUGGACUAAUACUGACACUGAGGUGCGAAAGCGUGGGGAGCAAACA